UUACCACUCUGGCCUUAUGGCUUAGAUCAAGUGUAGUAUCUGUUCUUAAUAGUUUAACCACUAUUAUGGAAGUAUUGCUUCCAUUACUGGUUAUCUAAUUUUUAUUGCCCUAGUUCCUUGUGCCUCUGCUUGCAUGCCUUGGGCGUGAUGACUCUGCUGCUGCACUCAUGGCUUAUGUUGUCGGGGGUCC
This 190-nucleotide small nuclear RNA is filed under the name Leucoagaricus sp. SymC.cos. RNAcentral's name for it is "U2 spliceosomal RNA". It matches the Rfam family "U2 spliceosomal RNA". From Rfam's summary of the family: U2 is a small nuclear RNA (snRNA) component of the spliceosome (involved in pre-mRNA splicing). Complementary binding between U2 snRNA (in an area lying towards the 5' end but 3' to hairpin I) and the branchpoint sequence (BPS) of the intron results the bulging out of an unpaired adenosine, on the BPS, which initiates a nucleophilic attack at the intronic 5' splice site, thus starting the first of two transesterification reactions that mediate splicing. Lineage: Eukaryota; Fungi; Basidiomycota; Agaricomycetes; Agaricales; Agaricaceae. The record is from Rfam by way of RNAcentral.